AUUACAGUCGACGAGUAAAAAAUAUUUAGUAUUAUUUUUCUCGUGUUUUUGUACUAUCUAUGAAUAUAAAGGUACUUGUAGUUCCGAAUAUUCGUUACAUUUCUAAUAAUUUUAUACGUUUUCUUUAUAUAUGCGUAUUAAUUUACUUAAUAGAUUAUUUGUUACGAAUAAAUAUGAAAUAUGCCUCAUGGCAGUUUUGUUUACUGUUUGUGCGAGUGUUGCCCCCUACGCAGAGUUUUGCGUAAUAUUCCCUAUUAUAUCAAAAUUUCUUACUGUUGAAUGAACACCAGUUGUUUACGUAAAUAUAAAUUUGAUUAUAAAAUA
Molecule: long non-coding RNA, 324 nt
Organism: Cydia pomonella (codling moth)
Lineage: Eukaryota; Metazoa; Arthropoda; Insecta; Lepidoptera; Tortricidae
Exons: 2
Source: RefSeq, a predicted model, not a curated record